RNAcentral lists this ribosomal RNA (492 nucleotides) under uncultured bacterium. RNAcentral's name for it is "bacterial SSU rRNA". It matches the Rfam family "Bacterial small subunit ribosomal RNA", at positions 43 to 554 of the family's 1533-position model. The record is from RNAcentral.
CGUUGCAUGAACAUGCAAGUCAACGGACGAUCGGGGUUCGCUCUGAUCGUUAGUGGCGGACGGCUGAGUAACGCGUAGGUGACCUUGCCCCGAAGUGGGGAAUAACUUGCCCGAAAGGGUGGCUAAUACCGCAUGUGGUGGUGCGUUCGAUCGCACCAGUAAAGCCGCAAGGCGCUUCGGGAGGGGCCCGCGUCCGAUUAGCUCGUUGGUGGGUAACGGCUCACCAAGGCGACGAUCGGUAGGUGGUCUGAGAGGACGAUCACCCAGACUGGGACUGAGACACGGCCCAGACUCCUACGGGAGGCAGCAGUCGGGAAUUUUGCGCAAUGGACGAAAGUCUGACGCAGCAACGCCGCGUGAGGGAUGAAGGCCUUCGGGUUGUAAACCUCUUUUGUCAGGGAAGAUAAUGACGGUACCUGGCGAAUAAGUCACGGCUAACUACGUGCCAGCAGCCGCGGUAAUACGUAGGUGACAAGCGUAGUCCGGAUUUAC